GGGGGGAUCUUGGUCAAUGGGGGAAACCCUGAACCAGCGACGCCGCGUGAGGGAAGAAGGGCUUUGGCCUGUAAACCUCUUUUGCCAGGGAAGAAGAGUGAGGGGAUGAGAGUCUUCUUGCUUUGACGGUACCUGGCGAAUAAGCCCCGGCUAACUACGUGCCAGCAGCCGCGGUAAUACGUAGGGGGCGAGCGUUGUCCGGAUUUACUGGGCGUAAAGAGCGCGUAGGCGGUCCUUUAAGUUGGCUGUGAAAUCUCUGGGCCCAACCCAGAGGGGUCGGCCGAGACUGGAGGGCUUGAGGGUGGUAGAGGAAGGUGGAAUACCGGGUGUAGUGGUGAAAUGCGUAGAGAUCCGGUGGAACACCAGUGGCGAAGGCGGCCUUCUGGGCCACACCUGACGCUGAGGCGCGAAAGCGUGGGGAGCGAACCGAAUUAGAUACUCGGGUAGUCCACGCCCUAAACGAUGGACGCUAGGUGUCGGGGGUAUCGACCCCCCGGUGCCCGAGCGAACGCAGUAAGCGUCCCGCCU
This 528-nucleotide ribosomal RNA is filed under the name uncultured bacterium. Its description in RNAcentral is "bacterial SSU rRNA". It matches the Rfam family "Bacterial small subunit ribosomal RNA", at positions 355 to 874 of the family's 1533-position model. The record is from RNAcentral.